This 253-nucleotide long non-coding RNA is filed under the name Mytilus galloprovincialis (Mediterranean mussel). The record is from RNAcentral. Lineage: Eukaryota; Metazoa; Mollusca; Bivalvia; Mytilida; Mytilidae.
AAGGUUUUUAAAUAUAAACAGAAACGAUAGAAUAUGUAAUGUGUGCAACUGUGAUUCUGUUGAAGAUGAAUAUCAUUUUAUUUUGGAAUGUAUUGGAUACAAAGAUAUUCGUAUGAAGUAUAUCAAACCUUAUUAUUGGAGAAAUCCAUCAGUAUUUAAACUUAUACAAUUGUUAUCUGUUCGUAAUAUAAAAGAACUUAAUAAUUUUGGAAAGUAUUUAUGUAUUGCCGAAAAAAUUCGUAAUCGUUGAAUG